Molecule: ribosomal RNA, 524 nt
Filed under: uncultured Acidobacteriaceae bacterium
Lineage: Bacteria; Pseudomonadati; Acidobacteriota; Terriglobia; Terriglobales; Acidobacteriaceae
Description: bacterial SSU rRNA
Rfam family: Bacterial small subunit ribosomal RNA
Source: RNAcentral
AAAGUGGAGCAAUCCAUGAGUACAGUGGCGACCGGGUGAGUAACACGUGACUACCUACCCUUGAGUGGGGGAUAACCUCGGGAAACCGAGGCUAAUACCGCAUAAUAUCGGCGUCUAAUAAACGUCGAUCAAAGGAGUAAUCCGCUUUUGGAGGGGGUCGCGGCUGAUUAGCUAGUUGGUAGGGUAAUGGCCUACCAAGGCGAAGAUCGGUAUCCGGCCUGAGAGGGCGCACGGACACACUGGAACUGAAACACGGUCCAGACUCCUACGGGAGGCAGCAGUGGGGAAUUUUGCGCAAUGGGGGAAACCCUGACGCAGCAACGCCGCGUGGAGGAUGAAGCCCCUUGGGGUGUAAACUCCUUUCGACCGGGAAAAUAAUGAUGGUACCGGUGGAAGAAGCACCGGCUAACUCUGUGCCAGCAGCCGCGGUAAUACAGAGGGUGCGAGCGUUGUUCGGAAUUAUUGGGCGUAAAGGGCGCGUAGGCGGUGUUGUAAGUCACCUGUGAAACCUCUGGGCUUAACUC